RNAcentral lists this ribosomal RNA (351 nucleotides) under Penicillium expansum. RNAcentral describes it as "eukaryotic LSU rRNA". The stretch from base 1 to 123 matches the Rfam family "5.8S ribosomal RNA", at positions 31 to 154 of the family's 154-position model. The record is from RNAcentral. Lineage: Eukaryota; Fungi; Ascomycota; Eurotiomycetes; Eurotiales; Aspergillaceae.
CAUCGAUGAAGAACGCAGCGAAAUGCGAUACGUAAUGUGAAUUGCAAAUUCAGUGAAUCAUCGAGUCUUUGAACGCACAUUGCGCCCCCUGGUAUUCCGGGGGGCAUGCCUGUCCGAGCGUCAUUGCUGCCCUCAAGCCCGGCUUGUGUGUUGGGCCCCGUCCUCCGAUUCCGGGGGACGGGCCCGAAAGGCAGCGGCGGCACCGCGUCCGGUCCUCGAGCGUAUGGGGCUUUGUCACCCGCUCUGUAGGCCCGGCCGGCGCUUGCCGAUCAACCCAAAUUUUUAUCCAGGUUGACCUCGGAUCAGGUAGGGAUACCCGCUGAACUUAAGCAUAUCAAUAAGGCGGAGGAA